Molecule: transfer RNA, 73 nt
Filed under: Xanthomonas phage X1
Lineage: Duplodnaviria; Heunggongvirae; Uroviricota; Caudoviricetes
Description: tRNA-Lys
Rfam family: tRNA
About the family: Transfer RNA (tRNA) molecules are approximately 80 nucleotides in length. Their secondary structure includes four short double-helical elements and three loops (D, anti-codon, and T loops).
Source: RNAcentral
GGGUCCGAAGCUCAAAUGGCAGAGCAACUGGUUCUUACCCAGUAGGAAGUCGGUUCGAUCCCGACCGGACCCA